This 617-nucleotide ribosomal RNA is filed under the name uncultured bacterium. RNAcentral describes it as "bacterial SSU rRNA". It matches the Rfam family "Bacterial small subunit ribosomal RNA", at positions 28 to 637 of the family's 1533-position model. The record is from RNAcentral.
AACGAACGCUGGCGGCGUGGAUAAGACAUGCAAGUCGAACGCGAUUGAGGAUGUAAAAGUCUUCAGUUGAGUGGCGAAAGGGUGCGUAACACGUGGGAAUUUACCGAGAUGUGGGGAAUAGCUUGGCGAAAGCCAAAUUAAUACCGCAUGUGAUCGAAAGAUCAAAGCUGGGGAUCGUAAGACCUGGCGCAUCUUGAGAAGCCCGCGGCCCAUCAGCUAGUUGGCGGGGUAACGGCCCACCAAGGCUAUGACGGGUAGCUGGUCUGAGAGGACGACCAGCCACACUGGAACUGAGACACGGUCCAGACACCUACGGGUGGCAGCAGUCGAGAAUUUUUCACAAUGGUCGCAAGACUGAUGGAGCGACGCCGCGUGGAGGAUGAAGGUUUUCGGAUUGUAAACUCCUGUCACUGCAGAACAAGGGUGCUUAGAUUAAUAAUUUAGGUAUUUGAUGGUAUGCGGAGAGGAAGGGACGGCUAACUCUGUGCCAGCAGCCGCGGUAAUACAGAGGUCCCGAGCGUUGUUCGGAUUCAUUGGGCGUAAAGGGUGUGUAGGAGGUCGGGUUAGUCAGGUGUGAAAUCUCGGAGCUUAACUCUGAAACUGCGCUUGAUACUGCU